Molecule: long non-coding RNA, 469 nt
Organism: Amphibalanus amphitrite
Lineage: Eukaryota; Metazoa; Arthropoda; Thecostraca; Balanomorpha; Balanidae
Exons: 4
Source: RefSeq, a predicted model, not a curated record
GGCGGACGACCGCGUGGAACCUCCAGGGCGCGACGACAGAGCGCCUAUGCGGACUGCGGUGGUGCCGGUGCCGAUGUGGCGGUGCCAGCCGCAGAAAACUGGAUCAGUAGCUGACCUGGGGCGCGGCGGGCCGACCUAUCUAAAUGAACAUCGCGCCGGCCGAGCCACCACCCGACAGAGCAGAGGAGUGCAUAAGAAAUCGAAAUCCAAGGAGUUUUGGGAAAUUCGAGAAACUGUUUGGGUUUUCGGACCCCGCUUGCAGCGUAGGUCAGACGAGCUGCCGGUCCCGAGGACGGAGCUGGUCCCUCGGAUGAAGCUGGCGGAUCCGUCGGAGCUACUGGUCCCUCGGAGAGACCAAGCUGGCUGGUCCUUCGGAUAGGCUGGCCCCUCGGACGGAGCUGGUUGGCCCCUCGGACGGAGCUGGUUGGUCCCUCGGACGGAGCUGGUUGGCCCCUCGGACGGAGCUGGU